UGCUAGUUGCACGAGUUCAUACUCGUGGCGAAAAGCUCAGUAACACGUGGCCAAACUACCCUACAGAGAACGAUAACCUCGGGAAACUGAGGCUAAUAGUUCAUACGGGAGUCAUGCUGGAAUGCCGACUCCCCGAAACGCUCAGGCGCUGUAGGAUGUGGCUGCGGCCGAUUAGGUAGACGGUGGGGUAACGGCCCACCGUGCCGAUAAUCGGUACGGGUUGUGAGAGCAAGAGCCCGGAGACGGAAUCUGAGACAAGAUUCCGGGCCCUACGGGGCGCAGCAGGCGCGAAACCUUUACACUGCACGCAAGUGCGAUAAGGGGACCCCAAGUGCGAGGGCAUAUAGUCCUCGCUUUUCUCGACUGUAAGGCGGUCGAGGAAUAAGAGCUGGGCAAGACCGGUGCCAGCCGCCGCGGUAAUACCGGCAGCUCAAGUGAUGACCGAUAUUAUUGGGCCUAAAGCGUCCGUAGCCGGCCACGAAGGUUCAUCGGGAAAUCCGCCAGCUCAACUGGCGGGCGUCCGGUGAAAACCACGUGGCUUGGGACCGGAAGGCUCGAGGGGUACGUCCGGGGUAGGAGUGAAAUCCCGUAAUCCUGGACGGACCACCGAUGGCGAAAGCACCUCGAGAAGACGGAUCCGACGG
RNAcentral lists this ribosomal RNA (644 nucleotides) under Haloferax sp. M1. RNAcentral's name for it is "bacterial SSU rRNA". It matches the Rfam family "Archaeal small subunit ribosomal RNA", at positions 52 to 697 of the family's 1478-position model. Lineage: Archaea; Methanobacteriati; Methanobacteriota; Halobacteria; Halobacteriales; Haloferacaceae. The record is from RNAcentral.